RNAcentral lists this ribosomal RNA (468 nucleotides) under uncultured bacterium. RNAcentral describes it as "partial 16S ribosomal RNA". It matches the Rfam family "Bacterial small subunit ribosomal RNA", at positions 28 to 507 of the family's 1533-position model. The record is from RNAcentral.
AACGAACGCUGGCGGCGUGCUUAACACAUGCAAGUCGAACGGAAAGGCCCUGCGUUUGUGGGGUGCUCGAGUGGCGAACGGGUGCGUAACACGUGAGUAACCUGCCCUUGACUUUGGGAUAACUUCAGGAAACUGGGGCUAAUACCGGAUCGGAGCUCCUGCUGCAUUGUGGGGGUUGGAAAGUUUCGGCGGUUGGGGAUGGACUCGCGGCUUAUCAGCUUGCUGGUGGGGUAGUGGCUUACCAAGGCUUUGACGGGUCGCCGGCCUGAGAGGGUGACCGGCCACAUUGGGACUGAGAUACGGCGCAGACUCCUACGUGAGGCAGCAGUGGGGAAUAUGGCACAAUGGGCGGGAGCCUGAUGCAGCAACGCCGCGGGCGGGAUGACGGCCUUCGGGGUGUAAACCGCUGUCGCCUGUGACGAAGCGUGAGUGACGGUAAUGGGUAAAGAAGCACCGGCUAACUACGUG